AGUGAACGCUGGCGGCAGGCCUAACACAUGCAAGUCGAACGGCAGCACAGUAAGAGCUUGCUCUUACGGGUGGCGAGUGGCGGACGGGUGAGGAAUACAUCGGAAUCUACUUUUUCGUGGGGGAUAACGAAGGGAAACUUACGCUAAUACAGCAUACGACCUACGGGUGAAAGCAGGGGAUCGUCGGACCUUGCGCGAUCGAGUGAGCCGAUGUGGGAUUAGCUAGUUGGCGGGGUAAAGGCCCACCAAGGCGACGAUCCGUAGCUGGUCUGAGAGGAUGAUCAGCCACACUGGAACUGAGACACGGUCCAGACUCCUACGGGAGGCAGCAGUGGGGAAUAUUGGACAAUGGGCGCAAGCCUGAUCCAGCCAUACCGCGUGGGUGAAGAAGGCCUUCGGGUUGUAGAGCCCUUUUGUUGGGAAAGAAGAGCAGCAGGUUAAUACCCAGCUGUUCUGACGGUACCCAAAGAAUAAGCACCGGCUAACUUCGUG
RNAcentral lists this ribosomal RNA (492 nucleotides) under uncultured bacterium. RNAcentral describes it as "partial 16S ribosomal RNA". It matches the Rfam family "Bacterial small subunit ribosomal RNA", at positions 29 to 507 of the family's 1533-position model. The record is from RNAcentral.